This 482-nucleotide ribosomal RNA is filed under the name uncultured bacterium. Its description in RNAcentral is "bacterial SSU rRNA". It matches the Rfam family "Bacterial small subunit ribosomal RNA", at positions 30 to 506 of the family's 1533-position model. The record is from RNAcentral.
UUGAACGCUGGCGGCAUGCUUUACACAUGCAAGUCGAACGGCAGCGGGGGCUUCGGCCUGCCGGCGAGUGGCGAACGGGUGAGUAAUGCAUCGGAACGUACCCAGUCGUGGGGGAUAACUACGCGAAAGCGUAGCUAAUACCGCAUACGCCCUGAGGGGGAAAGCGGGGGACCUUCGGGCCUCGCGCGAUUGGAGCGGCUGAUGUCGGAUUAGCUAGUUGGUGGGGUAAAGGCCUACCAAGGCGACGAUCCGUAGCUGGUCUGAGAGGAUGAUCAGCCACACUGGGACUGAGACACGGCCCAGACUCCUACGGGAGGCAGCAGUGGGGAAUUUUGGACAAUGGGGGCAACCCUGAUCCAGCAACGCCGCGUGAAUGAAGAAGGCCUUAGGGUUGUAAAGUUCUUUUAUCUGUGAGCAAAGCGCUGAUGUUAACAGCAUGAGUGUAUGAGAGUAGCAGAAGAAUAAGCACCGGCUAACUACGU